UACGUAGGAGGCAAGCGUUGUCCGGAAUUACUGGGCGUAAAGCGCGUGUAGGCGGUUGUUCAAGUCAGGUGUGAAAGCCUUGAGCUCAACUCAAGAAAUGCACUUGAUACUGGAUGACUAGAGGACCGGAGAGGAUAGUGGAAUUCCCAGUGUAGUGGUGAAAUACGUAGAGAUUGGGAAGAACACCAGUGGCGAAGGCGGGUCUCUGGGCAGUAACUGACGCUGAGGAGCGAAAGCGUGGGGAGCGAACAGG
RNAcentral lists this ribosomal RNA (253 nucleotides) under uncultured bacterium. Its description in RNAcentral is "partial 16S ribosomal RNA". It matches the Rfam family "Bacterial small subunit ribosomal RNA", at positions 524 to 776 of the family's 1533-position model. The record is from RNAcentral.